RNAcentral lists this ribosomal RNA (497 nucleotides) under uncultured bacterium. RNAcentral describes it as "partial 16S ribosomal RNA". It matches the Rfam family "Bacterial small subunit ribosomal RNA", at positions 28 to 507 of the family's 1533-position model. The record is from RNAcentral.
GAUGAACGCUGGCGGCGUGCCUAAUACAUGCAAGUCGAGCGAACGGACGAGAAGCUUGCUUCUCUGAUGUUAGCGGCGGACGGGUGAGUAACACGUGGAUAACCUACCUAUAAGACUGGGAUAACUUCGGGAAACCGGAGCUAAUACCGGAUGAUAUUUUGAACCGCAUGGUUCAAAAGUGAAAGACGGUCUUGCUGUCACUUAUAGAUGGAUCCGCGCUGCAUUAGCUAGUUGGUAAGGUAACGGCUUACCAAGGCAACGAUGCAUAGCCGACCUGAGAGGGUGAUCGGCCACACUGGAACUGAGACACGGUCCAGACUCCUACGGGAGGCAGCAGUAGGGAAUCUUCCGCAAUGGGCGAAAGCCUGACGGAGCAACCCCGUGUGAGUGAUGAAGGUCUUCGGAUCGUAAAACUCUGUUAUUAGGGAAGAACAUAUGUGUAAGUAACUGUGCACAUCUUGACGGUACCUAAUCAGAAAGCCACGGCUAACUACGUG